Molecule: long non-coding RNA, 644 nt
Organism: Carya illinoinensis
Lineage: Eukaryota; Viridiplantae; Streptophyta; Magnoliopsida; Fagales; Juglandaceae
Exons: 3
Source: RefSeq, a predicted model, not a curated record
ACAAGUCAUCUUCCUUCUUCUCCAGGCCGAUACCCAUUUCUCCAUUUCUCUUCUUCUUCCUUUCAUCUUCAAGCUCAAGAAACCAAGGCUUUUCCUUUUUCCUCUCCAAACCGUGUGACCCCAAGGAAAGAAAGGAACAGUUUCCUUCCUCCUCAAGCCAUGCCAUACCCCUUCUUCCAUACCCAUUUUUGGGUUUGCUCAUAGCUUGGAAUCCAAAGCUUAUUUUCAUCUUCUAAAAGAUGAAAUCUUGAAGUUUUGGGUUUCCAGCCAAGGGUUAGUGUUCUCUCUAGUCUCCUAAGCUGAACACACCUCUCCUCUUCAUCAUUUUCAUGCUUUGGGAAGAAUUCACCAAAGGUAUUGAUGGAGAGGUUGAGGAGCCGGGCACUACUUAGGAGGGAGGGGCCGAUGCUUAGUAGUCCCUUGUUGGUUUGGUUCUUUUGGUGAUGGCUUAUGAUUUAUAUGUUUUGAGGAUGGGUCCCAUGUGGGGACGUUUAUUUGAGUUAACCUUUAAACAAUGUACCUUCGGGUACAAUGUAAAUUUUAUGAUAGGGUGAUGGUAACCCCUCAUACUUUAACUUAACUUCCUUUUUGUAUGAAUUAUAGGGACUGAGUCCCUUUUUACUUAAAAUUGGUUAUGUUAGAUG